AUGCUGGAGCCCAGGAGCCAGACGCCACCGCCGACGACGACUCCUACUACACCGGGGGUGCCUACUACUACGUGCAGCCUGCUGACGACGACCAGGAGUAGUUUAGGAGGAUCCCAGGCAGGAGGCCUGCGCCUCUUUCGAUCUGUAUCCCAGUUUGUGCUAGCCUUCUUAAGGCAAACUUGUUUAACUUAUGGUUGUACUCAGAUAUUGUUGCUUCCGCUGACUCGUCUAUGA
Molecule: ribosomal RNA, 234 nt
Filed under: Triticum aestivum (bread wheat)
Lineage: Eukaryota; Viridiplantae; Streptophyta; Magnoliopsida; Poales; Poaceae
Description: partial small subunit ribosomal RNA
Source: RNAcentral